GACGAACCGUGCGAACGUUGUUCGGAAUCACUGGGCUUAAAGGGCGCGUAGGCGGACCAUCAAGUCAGGGGUGAAAUCCUCCAGCUUAACUGGAGAACAGCCUCUGAUACUGGUGGUCUGGAGUGGGGUAGGGGCAUGCGGAACUGGUGGUGGAGCGGUGAAAUGCGUAGAUAUCACUAGGAACGCCGGUGGCGAAAGCGGCGUGCUGGACCCCAACUGACGCUGAGGCGCGAAAGCCAGGGGAGCAAACGGG
RNAcentral lists this ribosomal RNA (253 nucleotides) under uncultured bacterium. RNAcentral's name for it is "partial 16S ribosomal RNA". It matches the Rfam family "Bacterial small subunit ribosomal RNA", at positions 524 to 776 of the family's 1533-position model. The record is from RNAcentral.